Molecule: transfer RNA, 89 nt
Filed under: Teleaulax amphioxeia
Lineage: Eukaryota; Cryptophyceae; Pyrenomonadales; Geminigeraceae
Description: tRNA-Ser
Rfam family: tRNA
About the family: Transfer RNA (tRNA) molecules are approximately 80 nucleotides in length. Their secondary structure includes four short double-helical elements and three loops (D, anti-codon, and T loops).
Source: RNAcentral
GGGUAAAUGGCCGAGUUGGUCGAAGGCGUCAGUCUUGAAAACUGAACUAUUUGUUAAGAAUAGCAUGAGUUCGAAUCUCAUUUUGCCCU